Paramormyrops kingsleyae is the source of this 74-nucleotide small nucleolar RNA. Ensembl annotates it as small nucleolar RNA SNORD50. Lineage: Eukaryota; Metazoa; Chordata; Actinopteri; Osteoglossiformes; Mormyridae. The record is from Ensembl.
CUUUAAUGAUGAAUAUAUCCCGAACCUGAUUUCAUGUGACUGAAAGUCAUAUAUUCGGAUCUGACUUCUGAAAU